GCGGCGUGCUUCAUACAUGCAAGUCGAACGAGAAGCAGGAGCUUGCUCCUGUGGAAAGUGGCGGACGGGUGAGUAACACGUAGGAAAUCUGCCUUUGGGUGGGGGACAACAGUUGGAAACGACUGCUAAUACCCCAUAUGAGCUUGGUUGCAAUACCAAUCUUGAAAACUCCGGUGCCUAAAGAUGAGCCUGCGUCUGAUUAGCUUGUUGGCGGGGUAAUGGCCCACCAAGGCGACGAUCAGUAGCUGGUUUGAGAGGAUGAUCAGCCACAAUGGGACUGAGACACGGCCCAUACUCCUACGGGAGGCAGCAGUAGGGAACUUUGCGCAAUGGGGGAAACCCUGACGCAGCAACGCCGCGUGAAUGACGAAGCCCUUCGGGGUGUAAAGUUCUGUCAGUAGGGAAGAAUUUUGACUGUACCUACAAAGGAAGCACCGGCUAACUCCGUGCCAGCCGCCGCAGUAA
RNAcentral lists this ribosomal RNA (465 nucleotides) under uncultured bacterium. Its description in RNAcentral is "partial 16S ribosomal RNA". It matches the Rfam family "Bacterial small subunit ribosomal RNA", at positions 39 to 523 of the family's 1533-position model. The record is from RNAcentral.